GACGAACGCUGGCGGCGUGCUUAACACAUGCAAGUCGAACGGAAAGGCCCUGCUUUUGUGGGGUGCUCAAGUGGCGAACAGGUGAGUAUCACGUGAGUAACCUGCCCUUUACUUUGGGAUAACUUCAGGAAACUGGGGCUCAUACCGGAUAGAAGCUCCUGCUGCAUAGUGGGGGUUGGAAAGAGUCGGCGGUUGGGGAUGGACUCGCGGCUUAUCAGCUUGUUGGUGGGGUAGUGGCUUACCAAGGCUUUGACGGGUAGCCGGCCUGAGAGGGUGACCGGCCACAUUGGGACUGAGAUACGACCCGGACUCCAACGGGGGGCAGCAGUGGGGAAUAUUGCACGAUGGGCGGAAGCCGGAUGCAGGAUCGCCGCGUGGGGGAUGACGGCCUGUGGGUUAUAAACCGCGUGCGCCUGUGAAGAAGAGUGAGUGACGGUAACGGGUCAGAAAGCAACGGCUAACUACGUG
Molecule: ribosomal RNA, 468 nt
Filed under: uncultured bacterium
Lineage: Bacteria
Description: partial 16S ribosomal RNA
Rfam family: Bacterial small subunit ribosomal RNA
Source: RNAcentral